This 100-nucleotide non-coding RNA is filed under the name Micromonospora sp. M71_S20. The record is from RNAcentral. Lineage: Bacteria; Bacillati; Actinomycetota; Actinomycetes; Micromonosporales; Micromonosporaceae.
GAGAGCCCGUUGCGUCGAGAGGCGCACGGCGGGUUCGGCGAGCGGCCUGGGGAAACGGACCAGUGGCGACACCGGCACCGCGCCCCAGGCCGACUCAUCU